GGAGUUAGCCGGUGCUUCUUCUGUGAGUGAUGUCCUUCCUGCCGGCUAUUAACCCGCAGGCCUUCUUCCUCACUGAAAGUGCUUUACAACCCGAAGGCCUUCUUCACACACGCGGCAUGGCUGGAUCAGGGUUGCCCCCAUUGUCCAAUAUUCCCCACUGCUGCCUCCCGUAGGAGUCUGGGCCGUGUCUCAGUCCCAGUGUGGCUGAUCAUCCUCUCAGACCAGCUACGGAUCGUCGCCUUGGUGAGCCGUUACCUCACCAACCAGCUAAUCCGACAUAGGCUCAUCCGAUAGCGCGAGGCCCGAAGGUCCCCCGCUUUCCCCCGUAGGGCGUAUGCGGUAUUAGCCUGGGUUUCCCCAGGGUUAUCCCCCACUACCGGGCAGAUUCCUAUGCAUUACUCACCCGUCCGCCGCUCGCCACCAGGGAGCAAGCUCCCCGUGCUGCCGCUCGACUUGCAUGUGUUAGGCCUGCCGCCAGCGUUCAAUCUGAGCCAGAAUCAAACUCUGA
This 508-nucleotide ribosomal RNA is filed under the name uncultured bacterium. RNAcentral describes it as "partial 16S ribosomal RNA". The record is from RNAcentral.